This is a long non-coding RNA of Callithrix jacchus (white-tufted-ear marmoset), 5352 nucleotides long. NCBI's taxonomy places the organism in Eukaryota, Metazoa, Chordata, Mammalia, Primates, Cebidae. The record is from Ensembl.
AUGCUCCCUAGCUCUGGGUGGCCCCUCUUACCUGCAAAUGGGAACACAUCCCCUGCAGGAAGACCCUGCCCUGUGCUCCUGGCGGGCAGGGGCGGCUACAGCCCACUUGGGCAGGCUGAGCGGUGCCCGGCCCUGUGUCUCAGCUCUGGCUCUUCCUGGGUCCAUUGCACUCAGCAGCCUUGCUGCAUCUCCCCUUCUCCCUCUAACCCUAGGCCAGGGUGCCCCAAAUCCCUAGAGGGGGCACAGUUCACUGCUGCCCUCCACUUGAGACCUCUCGGGGAGUCUCUGCUCCAUGUGCCAUUGGGACCACCUAGAGGUGGGAUCCUGACUACAGGCCGAGGGCAGAGGCCAGAGGGGCGGGGGUGGGGUGGGCCCUCUGGGGGCUCAGAAAGUGGGGUCAGCAUGGCGGUGAGCCCAAGGGGAUGGCUGUGGAAAGAAGUAGGGGGACACCAGCUGAGUCCCUGUGGGGCUGAGCACCUGAGUCUCCAGUGGGAGGGUGGAACUCCCAAGGGUGGGUGGGAACUAGGCAACCCCAGCAGGAAGCCCCAAGGGACAGGCCCUGACCCUGGGGAGUGCUUUGGGGAGGUGGUGAGCCUGGGUGAGGAGGAGAGGGCACGGCCAGUGAGGAGGAUGCCCCAGGGGAGAGGCAGAGUCCAGCAGGGGCUGGCCCAGGGCCACUUCGUGCUCUCCCACAAGGGCGGACAGAGGCGGUACCGGCGCCUCCUACAUCAGGCACGUCCCUGCGCGGCUCUGCCCUGUGGAGCAGCCAUCUCAGGGCACAUCAGGCUAGAAGCUUCUAGAAGUGCCCCUCGAUCAAGCCCACCCCUUCCCUGGCUUUGCUGUAAACCCGCCCCUUGGUCGAAUGCAACAGACCCUGGACGGGACCCUGCAGGAUGAGACGUUCUGCGAGCUAGCGGUUCUCAACAGGCAGCCAUUGUGUCCCCCUGGGGACAUGGGACCACCUCUGGAGGCACUGUGGGUUGUCACGACUUGGUGAGGAGGGCUCCUGCCAGGGCACAGGACACCCUGCCACAGAGGACGGCCCCCAUCAGAGGACGAGCCAGCUCCCGCUGUCACCAAGGUGGACAGAUGCUCCUGGCAGGCCUGGACAGUGGCCUGGACCUCAGCCGAGCGUGUUAGACAGGGAGGCAGGGGUGGUGUGAACGUGGGUUUGCUCUGGGAACACAAAUCAUGGGGUGGGGGCCUCGCAGGCCAGGACCCCCUGUGCCUGCUGCGUCCUGCUGUCCCGGAUGUACCUCAUCCCCCUGAAGAUGACAGUUGCCUGCUUAGCCUCACGAUGGGGCUGGUCUGAGAGCCAGUCCCAGCAGGCAGAUUGGAGACACAGCCACUGGGCAUCCGUGGCCAGGCCGUGCAUCUCCACAGGUACCCAGAACCAUGCCAGGAGUCCUCCAGGCAGGCACAUGACACUCACUGCGGUUGGCAUGGCCCUCUCUGAACCUGCGUGUGUGGAGGAUCUUCCAUAGGCACUUGACCUUAACCCCCCUUUACCGCCCUCACCUGCAGUCUGCAGGGUCAGGUCGUAUGUAGCAGCCAGGACGCUGGAGCUGGGCUUGGGCGCACGGUGAUGUUCGUCCUGUGCCCGUUCAGAGCCAUCCUUUCAUGUCCCCCAGGAUUGGGUUGGAGCAGAGUCCCCAGAUGUGGAACAUGCUGUUCCAGCUCCCAGAAGCCUUCCCAGUGCUGUGAGUCCUCGAGGGGGCUGCAAGGGGCAGCCACUUAUCUGUCCUGUGCUUCGGAGGGGAUUCUCUCAGGAGGGUCCAGAGUGCUCACCACAUCUUGCUCAUCUGGUCUCAUUAGCACAGGACCAUCGGUAGAGGGGGCCAGUGUGACAUUCUGGGGACAUUCAGCUGGUGUGGGUCUCUGGAUUAUUGUGAGAGGGCAGGAGGUUACCACAGCCCUGGGGAGGAACUGGAUAGGUUUCCUGUUUGCAUUCCAAGGGAGUGUGUCGGAUCUUCCUUCCAGACGGGGGAUGGAGGAGAAUGCUUGCCCAGCAGUGGCUUCGCUGCACAUCUGGGGCUGGGGAGCCCUCUCUAGCAAAGGCACCAUAUCUAGCUGGGUUAGACUCUGUCUCACAAGAAAAGGAGUUCCUUGUGCCCUUUAGGUCUUUAGAUGUGUCCCUAAUGUCCCCCAGUUUUGAUUUACUGUUUUGGGUGGGGACGGCUGCAGAGAUUUGCACUGGACUUACCCACUAUGACGGCCAAGGAAACGGUGUCUACCAUCAGGAAUGCCUGCUCUGUCUGUCCUGCCACAGGGGAGAUGACCCCUGGGCAAAUGCAGACUACAGGCUGGUGGAUCAGACCUCGCCAGAAUUCCACUGCUUACCUGGCUCCUACCCGGCCCCUCGCUCUCAUGGGAGCCCUGAGGACGCUUCAGGCUUUCAAAUGCCAGCAUCGCCCAGACCGCGUCCAGCACUUCUCAAGAUGUGUAUUUCCCUUGCUCCGUGUCCAGUCACCGAGGUCAGCGGCAGAGUCAGCCUUCACUUUAGUGAGUGUUCUUCGGGUUGGAAACCCAGUCAGCUCUAGAAACUGGGCAGAGCCGUGACUUUUUUGGUUUCAUUUAUUUAUUUUUGAGACAGAGUCUCUCUGUGUCACCCAGGCUAAAGUGCAGUGGUGAAAUCUUGUCUCACUGCAACCGCUGCCCCUCGGGUUCAAGCGAUUCCCCUGCCUCAGCCUCCGGAGUAGCUGGGACUACAGGCACGUGCCAUCACACCUGGCUAAUUUUCCGUAUUCUUGGUAGAGAUGGGGUUUCACUGUAUUAGCUAGGAUGGUCUCAAUCUCCUGACCUCAUGAUCCGCCUGACUUGUCCACCCAAAGUGCUGAGAUUACAGGCUCAAGCCAUCGCGCCCAACUAAUUUUUGUAUUUUUAGUAAAAAUGGGGUUCACUAUGUUGAGCAGGCUGGUCUUGAACUCCUGACCUCAAAGUGAUUCACCUGCCUCACCUCGCAAAGUGCUGAGAUUACAGGCUCGAGCCUCUGAGCCCGGCCAUGACUUUUUAUUGGAGCAAGUGCCCUUGGCCUCCCCAUCACACAGCCCUGAUUUCUUCUGCUCCUACAAGCUGAACAGCCUCUCUGGGCUGCCUGUCCCUCUCCCAGGAACUCGGUGUUCUAUCAGCUACCUCCAUUCCCCAUACAGCUCUGGUCCUUGGCCCCACUCCAGCCUGUAACUCAUUAGAGAGCUGCCUCCAGCGUUGGACAAGUGCUUCUGCCUGCCAUCACCCCCGUCCCUGUCAGCCAGUCCAGGGCUGUGACCGACCUCCGAUGUCUGUUCCAAAGGACGGCCAGCAUCCGUGGUGUCACAGGACUUUCGGUCCCCGUCUGCCAUGGCUGUUCUGACAUUCACCCCUCCUCACGGUGUCUCUCACUCUAGAAGCCUCUGGGCGGUGAAACAGUGCAGCGCACGAUGCUGUCUCCCGGGGUCCUCGUCCUCAGAAAAGGACCCACAGCCCUUGAGCUCUCCACCGUCCACCCCACGAUGCUUAUCCAGCCUGCCACGGCUGUGGGUCCCGGACUCCUUCGGGCUGUGGCCCCUCUGUCAGCCAGUGGCCCAGCACGCCCCCACCGGGAUACACUACAACUUAUACCAGGAGUGUCUCAGCAGGUCCUGGGGAGCCGGGGCAGGGGCCGGCCCCUCUCACAGAGGAGGCACGGUUUGGAGAGGUCCUGUUGCACCUGUUUCUUCCCGGCAGACGUGGGAGCCGGCCUCUCUGACCACCGCGUCUGUGCAUGUCUUCCCCGCCUCUCCGUGCAGCCUUCCACUUUUCUGGAGCUUCAUGGGUGGAACCAGCAGCCCCCCAGGACACCAUUCGCAAGGUUGUGCCCCCCAGACUCACCCACCCCGACAGUGCGGCCCUCCCCCUCAUCGUCUGCCGCCAGUGGCAGCGUGAUGGUGGCACCCGCUGGACAGAGCGAGUGCCUGGCCUGCACACCUCCCUUGUGCUGCCUGUCUGUGGCUGGCUCUGAAGCGGCGGACGGCGCCUCAGCCAUGUCCUGGGCUGACCCCAGAGCUGUGUGAAGCGAAACACCCUGAGCCUUCUCCCUCGUGCUGAGCCUUUGGCCCCUACUCACUGGCAAGCGGUGACCUUGGGUGGGGGGCCCUCCUUAGCCUGCCCCCACUGCUCCCUCAGCAUCCCCUGAUGCUCCCUCAGCCCCCCUGAUCCUCAGAGCCUGGGCCCUGUCCCUUUUCAGGUUCCCUGGCCCCCAAAGGCCUGGGGCUGGAACCCUGCCUGCCACCUGGGACAGGUGGUCAUCAGUGGGGCAAUCUGGGUGGGGGGGCCCUGCCGUCCUCCCCAUAUGCCCAAGACCAGCACCCGGAUGUGGACUGAGCCUGUGCCAGGUGAGCCCCAGGGGUUGGGGGCAGAAGGGCCCGGGUCCUGUGGGAAAGUCUGGGGUGGCAUCAGGGCCCAGAAAGGCUUACUGUGGUGUGGCGGGUGGGGGCCACUGGCUCUCAGGCCAUACACUCCCCUCCCCCAGCGCCCUGCCCCAGCUCCCUGGGGCUGGGGUCUUCCCAAACCCCAAGCCGGCUGCUCCCAGGCCCCAACCCAUGAGGGGCAAGGGGCCUGGCCUGAGGGGGCUGCAGGGCACCCCCCUCUCCAGAGACACCCUGCGCCCACUCCUGGUGGGAUCUUCUGUAGAUACCUUUCCUAACUGGCGAGCAGAGUCCGCUCUCCCCCAGGCCUGGCCUCUGGGACGAUCCCCCCACUCCACCCCCAAGCCAGGGAGGGGUACCUGGCCCCUCACCCCUCCAACAGCAGCCCAGGGCCAGCGUCCUGCGCCCACCCACCCCCCCCCCCCGUUCUGCCACCACCGGGCUUUCCGGGCCAUAGGGCGGCCACCACUCGAGGGUUGCCCGCGGGCCUCAGCGUCGCAGCUCGGGGAGGGGGCUGGUGGCCGGUGGUCCCGGCCAAUGGGGGGUUGGGGGCGGGUGGGGGGCGGGCCCCCUCCUGCCUCUGCCCGGCGCCAAGUCCUCGUCCGCGCGCUGCAGAGGAAGGGGCCGCGCCGCCGCCCCAGCCUGGACCCCGCCCAGCGCAGAUCGGGUCCGGAAGAACCCGGCAGGCGGCGGGACGCGGGGGGCGGUGAGGCUCCGCGGGCGGGAAGCGCGGGGCGCGGCCUUGCCGGGAAGGGGGCGGCGCCGGAAGCGUCGGCCGGGCUUUCCCCGGCGGGAGGGGGAGGGGAGGAGAUGGGGUGCGACGGGGAGGUGGGGGGGACGCCAUGGCGGGGCCGGGGGUGCGGUGAAGAGCGAGGCUGGGGCCCAGACGGGCAGGGGACUGGAACUGGGGGACGAGGGUCCGGGAAGGACCAGGCGUUGGGGGCGAAGGGGAUGGUGGGGGUCUGGGAGG